UUAUUUUUAGCACCCGUCAUAUCGAAUGUUUAGAUACUAAUUAGGAGUAUUAAACGUAGACUAUUUACAAAACCCAUUACAUAAGACGAAUCUAAACGGCGAGACGAAUCUAUUAAGCCUAAUUAGUCCAUGAUUUGACAAUGUGUUGCUACAGUAAACAUUUGCUAAUGAUGGAUUAAUUAGGCUUAAUUAGGCUUAAUA
Molecule: long non-coding RNA, 201 nt
Filed under: Setaria italica (foxtail millet)
Lineage: Eukaryota; Viridiplantae; Streptophyta; Magnoliopsida; Poales; Poaceae
Description: long non-coding RNA (SITA_LNC005677)
Source: RNAcentral